UACAGAGGGUGCAAGCGUUGUUCGGAAUUACUGGGCGUAAAGCGCGUGUAGGCGGUCAAGCAAGUCAGAUGUGAAAGCCCUCAGCUUAACUGGGGAAGUGCAUCCGAAACUACUUGUCUGGAGUGCCGGAGAGGUAAGGGGAAUUCCCGGUGUAGAGGUGAAAUUCGUAGAUAUCGGGAGGAACACCGGCGGCGAAGGCGCCUUACUGGACGGCAACUGACGCUGAGACGCGAAAGCGUGGGGAGCAAACAGG
This 253-nucleotide ribosomal RNA is filed under the name uncultured bacterium. RNAcentral's name for it is "partial 16S ribosomal RNA". It matches the Rfam family "Bacterial small subunit ribosomal RNA", at positions 524 to 776 of the family's 1533-position model. The record is from RNAcentral.